CUACGGGGUGCUGCAGUGAGGAAUAUUGCACAAUGGGGGGAACCCUGAUGCAGCAACGCCGCGUGGAGGAUGACGCAUUUCGGUGUGCAAACUCCUUUUAUAUGUCAAGAAAAUGACGGUAGCAUAUGAAUAAGCGCCGGCUAACUCCGUGCCAGCAGCCGCGGUAAUACGGAGGGCGCAAGCGUUACUCGGAAUCACUGGGCGUAAAGGACGCGUAGGCGGGUUGAAAAGUCAGGUGUGAAAGCCUACAGCUUAACUGUAGAACUGCACUUGAAACUCUCAAUCUAGAGUAUGGGAGGGGCAGAUGGAAUUAGUGGUGUAGGGGUAAAAUCCGUAGAUAUCACUAGGAAUACCUAAAGCGAAGGCGAUCUGCUGGAACAUUACUGACGCUAAGGCGUGAAAGCGUGGGGAGCAAACAGGAUUAGAUACCCCAGUAGUC
This 439-nucleotide ribosomal RNA is filed under the name uncultured bacterium. Its description in RNAcentral is "partial 16S ribosomal RNA". It matches the Rfam family "Bacterial small subunit ribosomal RNA", at positions 339 to 795 of the family's 1533-position model. The record is from RNAcentral.